RNAcentral lists this ribosomal RNA (460 nucleotides) under uncultured bacterium. Its description in RNAcentral is "partial 16S ribosomal RNA". It matches the Rfam family "Bacterial small subunit ribosomal RNA", at positions 338 to 795 of the family's 1533-position model. The record is from RNAcentral.
CCUACGGGUGGCAGCAGUGAGGAAUAUUGGUCAAUGGACGAGAGUCUGAACCAGCCAAGUAGCGUGAAGGAUGACUGCCCUAUGGGUUGUAAACUUCUUUUAUAAAGGAAUAAAACGCGGCACGUGUGCCUUUUUGCAUGUACUUUAUGAAUAAGGCUCGGCUAACUCCGUGCCAGCAGCCGCGGUAAUACGGAGGGUCCGAGCGUUAUCCGGAUUUAGUGGGUGUAAAGGGAGCGUAGAUGGGUUGAUAAGUCAGUUGUGAAAGUUUGCGGCUCAACCGUAAAAUUGCAAUGGAUACUGGGAGGCUUGAGUACAGUAGGGGUAAGCGGAAUUCGUGGUGUAGCGGUGAAAUGCGUAGAUAUCACGAAGAACCCCGAUUGCGAAGGCAGUUUACUAAACUGUGACUGACAUUGAGGCUCGAAAGUGUGGGUAUCAAACAGGAUUAGAUACCCCGGUAGUC